CCUACGGGCGGCUGCAGUGGGGAAUAUUGGACAAUGGGGGCAACCCUGAUCCAGCCAUGCCGCGUGUGUGAAGAAGGCCCUCGGGUUGUAAAGCACUUUCAGUGAGGAAGAACGCCUGGUGGUUAAUACCCAUCAGGAAAGACAUCACUCACAGAAGAAGCACCGGCUAACUCCGUGCCAGCAGUCGCGGUAAUACGGAGGGUGCGAGCGUUAAUCGGAAUUACUGGGCGUAAAGCGCGCGUAGGUGGCUUGAUAAGCCGGUUGUGAAAGCCCCGGGCUCAACCUGGGAACGGCAUCCGGAACUGUCAAGCUAGAGUGCAGGAGAGGAAGGUAGAAUUCCCGGUGUAGCGGUGAAAUGCGUAGAGAUCGGGAGGAAUACCAGUGGCGAAGGCGGCCUUCUGGACUGACACUGACACUGAGGUGCGAAAGCGUGGGUAGCAAACAGGAUUAGAUACCCUAGUAGUC
This 465-nucleotide ribosomal RNA is filed under the name Vreelandella stevensii. Its description in RNAcentral is "partial 16S ribosomal RNA". It matches the Rfam family "Bacterial small subunit ribosomal RNA", at positions 338 to 795 of the family's 1533-position model. The record is from RNAcentral. Lineage: Bacteria; Pseudomonadati; Pseudomonadota; Gammaproteobacteria; Oceanospirillales; Halomonadaceae.